This 509-nucleotide long non-coding RNA is filed under the name Hordeum vulgare. RNAcentral describes it as "long non-coding RNA (HVUL_LNC020132)". The record is from RNAcentral. Lineage: Eukaryota; Viridiplantae; Streptophyta; Magnoliopsida; Poales; Poaceae.
UGUUUUUAAUGGUAGUUUAUUUCACCUGUCUAAGCCUAUAUUUAUUUUUUUACAUCCGGUGCAAUGCACAGUUCCUUUUGCUAGUUAGAGGUACAAGAGUCGAUCUCAUCAUGCAUUGUGUUACUAGCUAACAGGCGAACGAACUAUCGACUUUUGGAUUACACGAUUAGUAGCUAGGCUGUUCUCGGGCGGGCAGUCUAUACAUUAUUAGAGUUGCUACGAACGCAUUGGUCAACACUACUAGUGACCAGGAGCAGCCUGGCUAACACAGGAGCUAGACGCAGCACGACGACACUAGCUACUUGGCGGCCUCUCCAUGGUGGAGGCCCGCGAAGUAGCCCUGGGGGUUUGCCUCGAAGCCGGAGCGGGCGAUGUAGCCGUCGGCGCCGGGGGCCCUCAUCAUGCCGUCUCCCCCGCCGCCGGCCGACUUACCCAUCCCACCGUGCCCGCCUCCGCCGCCGGACUUGGCAGAUGCUCCACCGGUCCCACCACCUUUCCCGCCGCCUCCU